This 728-nucleotide ribosomal RNA is filed under the name uncultured crenarchaeote. RNAcentral describes it as "bacterial SSU rRNA". It matches the Rfam family "Archaeal small subunit ribosomal RNA", at positions 321 to 1003 of the family's 1478-position model. Lineage: Archaea; Thermoproteati; Thermoproteota. The record is from RNAcentral.
CCCUAUGGGGUGCAGCAGGCGCGGAAACUCCGCAAUGCGCGAAAGCGUGACGGGGCCACCCCGAGUGUCAUCCGAUGAGGAUGACUUUUCCUUGGUAUAACUAGUCAGGGGAAUAAGGGGAGGGCAAGCCUGGUGUCAGCCGCCGCGGUAAUACCAGCUCCCCGAGUGGUUGGGGUGUUUAUUGGGUCUAAAGCAUUCGUAGCCGGCCGAAAAAGUUCUCCGUUAAAUUCGACGAUUCAAUCGUCGGUGUGCGGGGAAAACUACUCGGCUUGGGGGCGGAGGAAGUCGGCGGUAUUUCUGGGGUAGGGGCGAAAUCCUAUAAUCCCAGGAGGACCACCAGUGGCGAAGGCGGCCGACUAAAACGCGCCCGACGGUGAGGGGUGAAAGCUGGGGGAGCGAACGGGAUUAGAUACCCCGGUAGUCCCAGCUGUAAACAAUGCAGGCUAGGUGUUGGAACAGCUUCGAGCCGUUCCAGUGCCGCAGGGAAGCCGUUAAGACUGCCACCUGGGAAGUACGGUCGCAAGGCUGAAAUCUUAAGAAAUAGGAAUUAGUGAUGUAGCUAUUUCUUAGGACAGUAUACUUAAAGGAAUUGGCGGGGGAGCACCACAAGGGGUGAAGCCUGCGGUUUAAUUGGAGUCAACCCCGGGAAACUUACCAGGGGCGACAGCGGGAUGAAAGCCAGAUUAAAGGUCUUGCUGGACUAGCUGAGAGAGUGCAUACAGGCGAUU